UACAGAGGUCCCAAGCGUUGUUCGGAUUCACUGGGCGUAAAGGGUGCGUAGGCGGUCGGGUAAGUCUGACGUGAAAUCUCCGGGCCUAACCCGGAAACUGCGUCGGAUACUAUCCGGCUAGAGGAUUGGAAGGGAGACUGGAAUACUUGGUGUAGCAGUGAAAUGCGUAGAUAUCAAGUGGAACACCAGUGGCGAAGGCGAGUCUCUGGACAAUACCUGACGCUGAGGCACGAAAGCCAGGGGAGCAAACGGG
RNAcentral lists this ribosomal RNA (253 nucleotides) under uncultured bacterium. RNAcentral's name for it is "partial 16S ribosomal RNA". It matches the Rfam family "Bacterial small subunit ribosomal RNA", at positions 524 to 776 of the family's 1533-position model. The record is from RNAcentral.